Molecule: non-coding RNA, 48 nt
Filed under: Schistosoma curassoni
Lineage: Eukaryota; Metazoa; Platyhelminthes; Trematoda; Strigeidida; Schistosomatidae
Source: RNAcentral
AUUUAGCUGACGAGUCCCAAAUACGACGAAACGCUUGUCAGACUGGAU